This 388-nucleotide ribosomal RNA is filed under the name uncultured bacterium. Its description in RNAcentral is "bacterial SSU rRNA". It matches the Rfam family "Bacterial small subunit ribosomal RNA", at positions 30 to 422 of the family's 1533-position model. The record is from RNAcentral.
AUUGAACGCUGGCGGAAUGCUUUACACAUGCAAGUCGAACGGUAGAGGGGGCAACCCCUUGAGAGUGGCGAACGGGUGAGUAAUAUAUCGGAACGUGCCCAGUCGUGGGGGAUAACGUAGCGAAAGUUACGCUAAUACCGCAUACGAUCUAAGGAUGAAAGCGGGGGAUCGCAAGACCUCGCGCGAUUGGAGCGGCCGAUGCCUGAUUAGCUUGUUGGUGGGGUAAAAGCCCACCAAGGCGACGAUCAGUAGCUGGUCUGAGAGGACGAUCAGCCACACUGGGACUGAGACACGGCCCAGACUCCUACGGGAGGCAGCAGUGGGGAAUUUUGGACAAUGGGGGAAACCCUGAUCCAGCAAUGCCGCGUGAGUGAAGAAGGCCUUCGGG